AACGGCCGUACCAUGCUGAAUAUACCGGUUCUCGUUAGAUCACCGAAGUUAAGCAUCAUUGGGCGCGGUCAGUACUUGGGUGGGUGACCACCUGGGAACACUGCGUGCCGUCG
This 113-nucleotide ribosomal RNA is filed under the name Caerostris darwini. Lineage: Eukaryota; Metazoa; Arthropoda; Arachnida; Araneae; Araneidae. The record is from RNAcentral.